CGGGGCUAAACCAUGCACCGAAGCUGCGGCAGCGACACUGUGUGUUGUUGGGUAGGGGAGCGUUCUGUAAGCCUGUGAAGGUGUACUGUGAGGAUGCUGGAGGUAUCAGAAGUGCGAAUGCUGACAUAAGUAACGAUAAAGCGGGUGAAAAGCCCGCUCGCCGGAAGACCAAGGGUUCCUGUCCAACGUUAAUCGGGGCAGGGUGAGUCGACCCCUAAGGCGAGGCCGAAAGGCGUAGUCGAUGGGAAACAGGUUAAUAUUCCUGUACUUGGUGUUACUGCGAAGGGGGGACGGAGAAGGCUAUGUUGGCCGGGCGACGGUUGUCCCGGUUUAAGCGUGUAGGCUGGUUUUCCAGGCAAAUCCGGAAAAUCAAGGCUGAGGCGUGAUGACGAGGCACUACGGUGCUGAAGCAACAAAUGCCCUGCUUCCAGGAAAAGCCUCUAAGCAUCAGGUAACAUCAAAUCGUACCCCAAACCGACACAGGUGGUCAGGUAGAGAAUACCAAGGCGCUUGAGAGAACUCGGGUGAAGGAACUAGGCAAAAUGGUGCCGUAACUUCGGGAGAAGGCACGCUGAUAUGUAGGUGAAGUCCCUCGCGGAUGGAGCUGAAAUCAGUCGAAGAUACCAGCUGGCUGCAACUGUUUAUUAAAAACACAGCACUGUGCAAACACGAAAGUGGACGUAUACGGUGUGACGCCUGCCCGGUGCCGGAAGGUUAAUUGAUGGGGUCAGCGCAAGCGAAGCUCUUGAUCGAAGCCCCGGUAAACGGCGGCCGUAACUAUAACGGUCCUAAGGUAGCGAAAUUCCUUGUCGGGUAAGUUCCGACCUGCACGAAUGGCGUAAUGAUGGCCAGGCUGUCUCCACCCGAGACUCAGUGAAAUUGAACUCGCUGUGAAGAUGCAGUGUACCCGCGGCAAGACGGAAAGACCCCGUGAACCUUUACUAUAGCUUGACACUGAACAUUGAGCCUUGAUGUGUAGGAUAGGUGGGAGGCUUUGAAGUGUGGACGCCAGUCUGCAUGGAGCCGACCUUGAAAUACCACCCUUUAAUGUUUGAUGUUCUAACGUGGACCCGUGAUCCGGGUUGCGGACAGUGUCUGGUGGGUAGUUUGACUGGGGCGGUCUCCUCCUAAAGAGUAACGGAGGAGCACGAAGGUUGGCUAAUCCUGGUCGGACAUCAGGAGGUUAGUGCAAUGGCAUAAGCCAGCUUGACUGCGAGCGUGACGGCGCGAGCAGGUGCGAAAGCAGGUCAUAGUGAUCCGGUGGUUCUGAAUGGAAGGGCCAUCGCUCAACGGAUAAAAGGUACUCCGGGGAUAACAGGCUGAUACCGCCCAAGAGUUCAUAUCGACGGCGGUGUUUGGCACCUCGAUGUCGGCUCAUCACAUCCUGGGGCUGAAGUAGGUCCCAAGGGUAUGGCUGUUCGCCAUUUAAAGUGGUACGCGAGCUGGGUUUAGAACGUCGUGAGACAGUUCGGUCCCUAUCUGCCGUGGGCGCUGGAGAACUGAGGGGGGCUGCUCCUAGUACGAGAGGACCGGAGUGGACGCAUCACUGGUGUUCGGGUUGUCAUGCCAAUGGCACUGCCCGGUAGCUAAAUGCGGAAGAGAUAAGUGCUGAAAGCAUCUAAGCACGAAACUUGCCCCGAGAUGAGUUCUCCCUGACCCUUUAAGGGUCCUGAAGGAACGUUGAAGACGACGACGUUGAUAGGCCGGGUGUGUAAGCGCAGCGAUGCGUUGAGCUAACCGGUACUAAUGAACCGUGAGGCUUAACCUU
Molecule: ribosomal RNA, 1768 nt
Filed under: Escherichia coli 97.0003
Lineage: Bacteria; Pseudomonadati; Pseudomonadota; Gammaproteobacteria; Enterobacterales; Enterobacteriaceae
Description: bacterial LSU rRNA
Rfam family: Bacterial large subunit ribosomal RNA
Source: RNAcentral